This 508-nucleotide ribosomal RNA is filed under the name uncultured bacterium. RNAcentral describes it as "partial 16S ribosomal RNA". It matches the Rfam family "Bacterial small subunit ribosomal RNA", at positions 28 to 523 of the family's 1533-position model. The record is from RNAcentral.
GACGAACGCUGGCGGCGUGCUUAACACAUGCAAGUCGAACGAGAAAGCCCUUCGGGGUAAGUACAGUGGCGAACGGGUGAGUAACACGUGGGCAACCUGCCCCAGAGAGCGGGACAACCCGGGGAAACCCGGGCUAAUACCGCAUGAUGCGUCUCCACUUAAGUGGAGCCGCCAAAUGGUAGCUUCGGCCUCCGCUCUGGGAUGGGCCCGCGCCGGAUUAGCUAGUUGGUUGGGGUAACGGCCCACCAAGGCGACGAUCCGUAGCUGGUCUGAGAGGACGAUCAGCCACACUGGAACUGAGACACGGUCCAGACUCCUACGGGAGGCAGCAGUGGGGAAUAUUGGACAAUGGGCGCAAGCCUGAUCCAGCCAUACCGCGUGGGUGAAGAAGGCCUUCGGGUUGUAAAGCCCUUUUGUUGGGAAAGAAAUCCAGCCGGCUAAUACCUGGUUGGGAUGACGGUACCCAAAGAAUAAGCACCGGCUAACUUCGUGCCAGCCGCCGCCGUAA